This 294-nucleotide unclassified non-coding RNA is filed under the name Hevea brasiliensis (rubber tree). The record is from RNAcentral. Lineage: Eukaryota; Viridiplantae; Streptophyta; Magnoliopsida; Malpighiales; Euphorbiaceae.
AUAAGGGACCGUGAUUUAAUUUUUUUCAAUUUAAUAUAUUGUGCUUUCCUCCAUUAAUAAAUAUAGUAUAAAUUAUUAAUUACUGUAAAAUGAUGUUGGCAUGUCAAAUACAGUAAUGGUUUUAAAAAAUUAAUUAAAAUUUAUGGAUAAAUUUUUAUUUUUAAAAACUGUUGGCCCCCCUCCCAAGCCACAAGGUAGUUCCGCCAAUGCUGCUCAUGUUACCUAAAUCUGCACUCAAUAACCAACAAAGAUAAGCACAGCAGAAUAUCGUUUCCCAGAAAACCUGCAAAAACA